RNAcentral lists this transfer RNA (69 nucleotides) under bovine gut metagenome. It matches the Rfam family "tRNA". Rfam says of the family: Transfer RNA (tRNA) molecules are approximately 80 nucleotides in length. Their secondary structure includes four short double-helical elements and three loops (D, anti-codon, and T loops). Further hydrogen bonds mediate the characteristic L-shaped molecular structure. tRNAs have two regions of fundamental functional importance: the anti-codon, which is responsible for specific mRNA codon recognition, and the 3' end, to which the tRNAs corresponding amino acid is attached (by aminoacyl-tRNA synthetases). tRNAs cope with the degeneracy of the genetic code in two manners: having more than one tRNA (with a specific anti-codon) for a particular amino acid; and 'wobble' base-pairing, i.e. permitting non-standard base-pairing at the 3rd anti-codon position. The record is from RNAcentral.
GGACAUGGCUCAGUUGGUAGAGCAUCACCUUGCCAAGGUGAGGGUCGCGGGUUCGAGUCCCGUUGUCCG